AUUGAACGCUGGCGGCAGGCCUAACACAUGCAAGUCGGACGGUAGCACAGAGGAGCUUGCUCCUCGGGUGACGGGUGGCGGACGGGUGAGUAAUGUCUGGGGAUCUGCCCGAUAGAGGGGGAUAACCACUGGAAACGGUGGCUAAUACCGCAUAACGUCGCAAGACCAAAGAGGGGGACCUUCGGGCCUCUCACUAUCGGAUGAACCCAGAUGGGAUUAGCUAGUAGGCGGGGUAACGGCCCACCUAGGCGACGAUCCCUAGCUGGUCUGAGAGGAUGACCAGCCACACUGGAACUGAGACACGGUCCAGACUCCUACGGGAGGCAGCAGUGGGGAAUAUUGCACAAUGGGCGAAAGCCUGAUGCAGCCAUGCCGCGUGUAUGAAGAAGGCCUUCGGGUUGUAAAGUACUUUCAGCGGGGAGGAAGGCGAUGUGGUUAAUAACCGCAUUGAUUGACGUUACCCGCAGAAGAAGCACCGGCUAACUCCGUGCCAGCAGCCGCCGUAA
This 506-nucleotide ribosomal RNA is filed under the name uncultured bacterium. Its description in RNAcentral is "partial 16S ribosomal RNA". It matches the Rfam family "Bacterial small subunit ribosomal RNA", at positions 29 to 523 of the family's 1533-position model. The record is from RNAcentral.